UCUGUAGCUCAGGUGAUGGAGCAUGAGACUCUUAAUCUCAGGGUUGUGGGUUUGAGCCCCACAUUGGGCAAAA
Molecule: non-coding RNA, 73 nt
Organism: Podarcis lilfordi (Lilford's wall lizard)
Lineage: Eukaryota; Metazoa; Chordata; Lepidosauria; Squamata; Lacertidae
Source: the annotation of a GenBank genome assembly